Molecule: ribosomal RNA, 425 nt
Filed under: uncultured prokaryote
Description: bacterial SSU rRNA
Rfam family: Bacterial small subunit ribosomal RNA
Source: RNAcentral
UAACGAAUAUUGGGCAAUGGGCGAAAGCCUGACCCAGCAAUGCCGCGUGCAGGACGAAGUCCUUCGGGAUGUAAACUGCUGUCAGGGGUCCGCAAGCGAAGGGGUCCAACAGGCCCUGGAGUUGAGCAGCCCCAGAGGAAGCACCGGCUAACUCCGUGCCAGCAGCCGCGGUAAUACGGAGGGUGCAAGCGUUAUUCGGAAUUACUGGGCGUAAAGGGCGUGCAGGCGGGAGAGCAAGUCUGAUGUGAAAGCCCGGGGCUUAACCCCGGAAGGGCAUUGGAAACUGCUUUUCUUGAGUUCUGGAGAGGAAGGGAGAAUUCCCGGUGUAGAGGUGAAAGUCGUAGAGAUCGGGAGGAACAUCAGUGGCGAAGGCGCCCUUCUGGACAGCAACUGACGCUGAGACGCGAAAGCGUGGGGAGCAAACA